This 248-nucleotide unclassified non-coding RNA is filed under the name plant metagenome. Its description in RNAcentral is "partial contains small subunit ribosomal RNA, internal transcribed spacer 1, and 5.8S ribosomal RNA". The record is from RNAcentral.
UCUCCGUAGGUGAACCUGCGGAGGGAUCAUUACAGAGUUCAUGCCCUACCGGGUAGAUCUCCCACCCUAUGUUAUUAUUACUUUGUUGCUUUGGCGGGCCGUUAGGCUCCGGCCCGACUACCGGCCCCGGCUGGUAAGCGCCCGCCAGAGGACCCAAAACCCUGAAUAUUAGUGUCGUCUGAGUACUAUAUAAUAGUUAAAACUUUCAACAACGGAUCUCUUGGUUCUGGCAUCGUGAAGAACGCAGC